CCUCAAAUCAGGUAGGACUACCCGCG
RNAcentral lists this ribosomal RNA (26 nucleotides) under Tricholoma sp. PerCr2326. Its description in RNAcentral is "partial 28S ribosomal RNA". The record is from RNAcentral. Lineage: Eukaryota; Fungi; Basidiomycota; Agaricomycetes; Agaricales; Tricholomataceae.